RNAcentral lists this ribosomal RNA (411 nucleotides) under Sulfitobacter sp. RNAcentral's name for it is "bacterial SSU rRNA". It matches the Rfam family "Bacterial small subunit ribosomal RNA", at positions 505 to 916 of the family's 1533-position model. Lineage: Bacteria; Pseudomonadati; Pseudomonadota; Alphaproteobacteria; Rhodobacterales; Roseobacteraceae. The record is from RNAcentral.
GUGCCAGCAGCCGCGGUAAUACGGAGGGGGUUAGCGUUGUUCGGAAUUACUGGGCGUAAAGCGUACGUAGGCGGAUCAGAAAGUUGGGGGUGAAAUCCCGGGGCUCAACCCCGGAACUGCCUCCUAAACUCCUGGUCUUGAGUUCGAGAGAGGUGAGUGGAAUUCCAAGUGUAGAGGUGAAAUUCGUAGAUAUUUGGAGGAACACCAGUGGCGAAGGCGGCUCACUGGCUCGAUACUGACGCUGAGGUACGAAAGUGUGGGGAGCAAACAGGAUUAGAUACCCUGGUAGUCCACACCGUAAACGAUGAAUGCCAGUCGUCGGGCAGUAUACUGUUCGGUGACACACCUAACGGAUUAAGCAUUCCGCCUGGGGAGUACGGUCGCAAGAUUAAAACUCAAAGGAAUUGACGG